AAGCGAAGGUCCCAGCAGAGGGGUAGAGAUUCUGAUACGAGACCUGUCUAACACUUUGCCUAUGUUAGAUUGGCUGAAUCGUAGGAUGCACAGAUUGUUCUUUGUUUUGGUGCUUCUGGAAUCCUCAGCUACAUUCCA
Cornus florida is the source of this 138-nucleotide small nucleolar RNA. RefSeq annotates it as small nucleolar RNA snoR145. Lineage: Eukaryota; Viridiplantae; Streptophyta; Magnoliopsida; Cornales; Cornaceae. The transcript has a single exon. The record is from RefSeq and is a predicted model, not a curated record.